UCUUCACCAGACGAGUCAGCAGACUGAAACCUACGAAAUGGACACAGCAGCAGCAGGCAAAUCCGCUCCUCCAAAGCCCAAGGAGGGCCGGCAGUUCAAUAGUGCCGCUCCCAAAGCUGGAGGGAAGAAGGGGUUCAACAGCGCCCCACCAGGCAAGGGCAGCUUCGGAGGAGCGGACCUGGUCUGCCCCUGGGAGGAGUUUGGCGACAUGGAGCUGAAUGAGCUGACGCAGUUCGGCAUCAUCUAGACCUGCUGGACCGACCCUCCUGCACGAAACACAUCUUCCUUGUAUAAAGUGUGAUGAGUCUUGGAGUAGCUUCAUAUAUUUAUUUAACUUAUAUCAAACGUACAGUGGAGAGAAUUAAUGAAGGAACAUCAUCAUCAUAUCUUUACGGCUCCGUAUGAAUCUGUUUGACCUUAAAAGCUCCAUAUUACUCUUUUUUUUAUGGUUUUGUUUUCAAAACAUCUGUGGCUCUGGAAGAGGGUCACAUUUUUUUCAUGUUUUGCAAAUGAAAUCAGCCUGAAACUGCCUGCACAAAAACCUCAGAUUUCUGUAAAUGCCAGAACUUUAACCACGCGAAAAUAUCUUUUUUCUUUCUUUUUUUUCUUUUCUUUUUUUCCCAGUGGCUUCGGUAGAUACAUUUGCCAACAUUAAACUUGAAUUUCUGUAAUAUGGGGCCUUCAAGGUUUGACAUUACAUUGUAAAUUGUAAAAUAAAAUAGUAUUCAUUUCACAUCAUGGUUGUAUUCGUUGCCAAGGUUAUAUUUUUAUUUUAUUUAUUUUUUAUUUUUUUUGCAUGGAGACCAAAAUAGCAUCACUGCAGUCUUUUCAGGACGUGGUUUCACACUCACAAACAUUAAUAACAAAGUAGAAAAAUAAAUCCUGACUGCUACCUCAAAACAGAGUCUCAUCAAGGUGGAAGUGUUGAAGCUGAAACUGUAGAUGAAUGACCUGUGGCUUUUUUCUCACACUCAUACUGUCUGCUGUAAUUCUUUCAGGACGGCCUUGGUAAUUUGU
Molecule: long non-coding RNA, 1017 nt
Organism: Myripristis murdjan (pinecone soldierfish)
Lineage: Eukaryota; Metazoa; Chordata; Actinopteri; Holocentriformes; Holocentridae
Exons: 4
Source: RefSeq, a predicted model, not a curated record